Molecule: ribosomal RNA, 249 nt
Filed under: Salmonella enterica subsp. enterica serovar Muenchen
Lineage: Bacteria; Pseudomonadati; Pseudomonadota; Gammaproteobacteria; Enterobacterales; Enterobacteriaceae
Also listed under: 1 other name
Description: partial 16S ribosomal RNA
Rfam family: Bacterial small subunit ribosomal RNA
Source: RNAcentral
AAAUUGAAGAGUUUGAUCAUGGCUCAGAUUGAACGCUGGCGGCAGGCCUAACACAUGCAAGUCGAACGGUAACAGGAAGCAGCUUACUGCUUCGCUGACGAGUGGCGGACGGGUGAGUAAUGUCUGGGAAACUGCCUGAUGGAGGGGGAUAACUACUGGAAACGGUGGCUAAUACCGCAUAACGUCGCAAGACCAAAGAGGGGGACCUUCGGGCCUCUUGCCAUCAGAUGUGCCCAGAUGGGAUUAGCU